CCCCCAAAAAAAAAAACAGCAAUCAGAAAAACAGGAAGAGGAUUUGUAUAAGAUCAAGUUUUUUCAGAUUCUAUCACAUAUAGAUACAUCCAUAUUAAUGCCUAAACAACAGUUUGUGCAUCAAAGAAACAUUUUAAUAAGAGGGAACCCAAAAAAAUUGUUCAAGUUAGUCAUGAAAUCGGCACAAUGAGAAGCAAUAACAAUGAAAGGCAUGAAGUAAAUCCCGUGAAAUCAAGGGAACACUAAACGCAAUGGAUAUAUAAUGUAAAGCUUCAAUCUCAAUUUCGAACUAAAAUUUGUUUGAGAAAGGAACAACUAAAUAACCUUGUUGGGUAUUUUUUGGUAAGUGAUACCCAAAUCCCCUAGGCAAUGAUGAAAAUCGAGGCCCGUUUAACUUCAUAGGCUAUAAGCCUAAUAUUGAAGAACAUAUUGGACCCACACCACAAUUGAUGUAAUCCAAUUGUGUUGGGUAUUUGGAGGAAAUCAGCCCAUUGGGCUAGAUGCUCAAUACCCGACUAUGGAGAUAAAUGAAAUCACAAAAGAUAGAAUUGGUUGCAAAUAAUUAUCUCGUGAUAAUUAUCCUAUCCCUACUGUUUCUGUUGGACUCAAAUUUAAACUUCCCUGUUAUCUUGGAGAUUUGAUUUCCCUUGUGAUAAUAUACAAGAGUUUUAUACAUCCAAAAAACUCAACCAAUUUGAUAAAAGAGAGAGAAGCUGGCUGCCUUCUUCUUCUUAGAGUGAGAACUUUUCUGCAAAAGAAAAAGAGACUUCCUUCUCUGUGAAAACCGAAGUCGACCUUUG
RNAcentral lists this long non-coding RNA (800 nucleotides) under Olea europaea subsp. europaea. The record is from RNAcentral. Lineage: Eukaryota; Viridiplantae; Streptophyta; Magnoliopsida; Lamiales; Oleaceae.